RNAcentral lists this long non-coding RNA (2769 nucleotides) under Homo sapiens (human). RNAcentral describes it as "HSALNT0363165". Lineage: Eukaryota; Metazoa; Chordata; Mammalia; Primates; Hominidae. The record is from RNAcentral.
GUGCGGUGUUGAGCACGCGGGAAGCACUUAACGAAAGGGAGCUGCCCCUCAGCCCUCGUGAGUCCGAUGUAAAGGAGUGAAGGAGACGAAGAACUGAAUCAGUAGUUGACCGCCUGUGAGCUGGCGAGCUGUGCCCUGGUAGGGCCUUAAAUCCCAGCCCCAGAAGUCGGAGGCAGGGCAGGCACCCCAAAGCGUGGAAGAGAUGCACCUGCGGAGUGAAAAUGCUGCUAUUGCUUCUAGGGUCAGCCUUGGUUCCUGGAACAAAGGAGCCGCAUGACUCGGGUCUGGCGAUGAUGUUGGGCUCUGCAGUGUCCUCAUCCUUCCCCCUCUCUGGGUAAUGAUAUCUUCCCAGGGUUUAAAGUGUGUCCUCUCUGCCAGUAGCUUGUCUCCACAGCCUCAUCUUUAAUUCCACCUGCCCCACCCAUUUUGGACACUGCAGCCAAGUUGCAGCAGAUCCGCAAACCUGGUAAUCCCUCACUUGAAAGUGCUGGAGGCUUUAGGAUGGGGUUCAGGGCCUGUGCAAUCUAACCGCCUGCUUUUUUUUUUUUUUUUUUUUUUUUUUUUUUGAGACGGAGUCGAAUCUCACUGUCUCCCAGGCUGGAGUGCAGUGGCGCCAUCACAGCUCAUUGCAGCCUCAACCUCCUGAGCUCAAGCCAUCCUCCCACCUCAGCCUCCCAAGUACCUGGGGUUACAGGCAAGCACCAUUACGCCUAGCUAAUUUUUCUGGGUUUUUUUUUUUUGUUUUUUUUUUUGUAUAGAUGGAUUUCGCCAUGUUGUCCAGGCUGGUCUUAAACUCUCGCUCUGUCUCCCAGGCUAGAGUGCAGUGGGGCAAUCUCGGCUCCCUGCAACCUCUGCCUCCUGGGUUCAAGCAAUUAUCCUGCCUCAGCCUACCAGUUAGCUGGGAUUACAUGUGUGCGCCACCGCGCCCGGCUAAUUUUUUUAUUUUUAGUAGAGGCGGGGUUUCACCAUGUUGACCAGGCUGGUCUCAAGACUACUGACCUCAAGUGAUCCCCCCCCCCCCCCGCCUCGGCCUCCCAAAGUGCUGGGAUUACAGACGUGAGCCACCGUGCCCAGCGGUUUUGCAUUUUCAAUUGUGGGGCACGGUGAGAAAAGACUUGAAGAAAGCAAGGGAGUGAGAUCCAUGGAAAUGUAGGGGGGAACCUUGCAGGCCUAUGGAACAGCCAGUGCAAAGGGCCUGGGGUGGGAGCUGCCUCAGGGUAGCCAGGAUGGCAGGAGGCACAGCUGCCGAGAGGAAGCAGGGGCCAGGUCCUGCAAGGUUAGAGGCCAUUGCUACUCCUGAACACAUUGGCAGGUUUUGAGCAGAGAAGUGACAUGAUUUUAGUUUUCUCAGGAUCCCUCUGGCUGCUGUGUGGAGGAAGAGGGGAGGGUGAGAGCAGGGAUACCUCUUAGGAGGCUGUGGUAGUAAUCCCAGGGAGCCAGGAUGGGAGCAGAGGAGGGGACAGGAAUUGGAUUCUGGAUGCAUUUUGGAGGGAGCAUGAAGGAAAGCGGGGUCAAAGGUUCCUCUGAGGCCUUGGCUGCCUCUCUUAUUCAUCUACAUCCAUUCUGUCAAGGACACCUUUCAUUUCUUCUUGGCACUGUCUCAAGGCCACCACGCUGCUGCCCACCUGACCAGCAGUGGCCUUUCCAGGCCUUCCAUCUUCUCCCCAGCAGCUUAUCUCUGCGUAGCCAGGUCCCAUUUCCCACACACCUUUUUUUAAAGUGUGUUGCACUGCUCUGGGUGCAGGACUGUAGCAGUGACCAGGGCAGCUCCAGAUGAAGCUUCUGCUCACAGGAACCUUUUCUACUGAAACAGAUGAUACCUAAACUCUCAGCUGUGUGACUUUAAGCAACUUGCACAACCUCUCUGUACUUCAGUUGCCUCCAUCUUCAAAUGGGGAUUAAAAAGUGUUGACAUCAUAGUGGUUGUGAGGAUUACAUGAUUUGAUAGUUUAUAAAGCACUUAGAACUUGUGAAGAAGAGUGCCUGGGGAUUGCCUAAGGUCAGGAGUUCAAGACCAGCCUGGCCAACAUGGAGAAACCUCAUCUCUGCUAAAAAUACAAAAACUAACCACGCAUGGUAGUGCACACCUCUAGUCCCAGCUACUUGGGGGGCUGAGGCAGGAGAAUCACUUGAACCUGGGAGGUGGAGAUUGCAGUGAGCCAAGAUUGCGCCACUGCACUCCAGCCUGGGCAACAGAGCAAGACUCGGUCUCCAAAGAAAAAAAAAGAACUGCCUGGCUACGGAAUAAGAACUACAUGGAGUUAUUAAAUCAAAAUCGGUGCACAAAUGAUAAUUCUUAAGAGUGAGUGCUACAGAGAACACAAAAGGCAAGGCACAGAGAGAUGACCUGGGAGGCAGGGAAGGAAAGCAUUCCCAGAGGGACCCUACCCUGGUGGCACAGGACGUCUCACACAGCACUGUCUGGGACAGCAAAAGGGAUGGAAACCACCUGAGUCCAACUAUGGAGGACACUGGAAAACACGAUGCUGCCUCCAUAGGAUGGGAUAUUGGCAAGUGUGAAGAAACAACAUUUGGUUCUGGAGGCUGCAAGCCCAGGUUCAAGGCAUCAGCAGGUGUGGUUUCCUCCGAGGCCUCUCCCCGUGGCUUGCAGAUGGCUGCCUUCUUCCUGCAUCCUCACGUGGUCCCUCCUCUGCACUCCAGCAUCCUUAAUGUCUCUUUGUGUGUCCAACUUUCCGCCCCCCCCCACCCCUUUUUUUUCUGAUGGAGUCCACCCAGACUGGAGUACAGUGGCGUGAUCUCAGCUCACUG